RNAcentral lists this ribosomal RNA (478 nucleotides) under uncultured bacterium. RNAcentral describes it as "partial 16S ribosomal RNA". It matches the Rfam family "Bacterial small subunit ribosomal RNA", at positions 28 to 523 of the family's 1533-position model. The record is from RNAcentral.
GACGAACGCUGGCGGCGUGCUUAACACAUGCAAGUCGAACGGUAAGGCCCUUCGGGGUACACGAGUGGCGAACGGGUGAGUAACACGUGGGUGAUCUGCCCUGCACUUGGGGAUAAGCCUGGGAAACUGGGUAUAAUACCGGAUAGGACCACUGAAUGCAUGGGUGGUGGUGGAAAGCUUUUGCGGUGUGGGAUGGGCCCGCGGCCUAUCAGCUUUUUGGUGGGGUGAUGGCCUACCAAGGCGACGACGGGUAGCCGGCCUGAGAGGGUGACCGGCCACACUGGGACUGAGAUACGGCCCAGACUCCUACGGGAGGCAGCAGUGGGGAAUAUUGCACAAUGGGCGCAAGCCUGAUGCAGCGACGCCGCGUGAGGGAUGACGGCCUUCGGGUUGUAAACCUCUUUCAGCACCGACGAAGCGCAAGUGACGGUAGGUGCAGAAGAAGGACCGGCCAACUACGUGCCAGCAGCCGCCGUAA